GAUGAACGCUGGCGGCGUGCCUAAUACAUGCAAGUCGAGCGAACGGACGAGAAGCUUGCUUCUCUGAUGUUAGCGGCGGACGGGUGAGUAACACGUGGAUAACCUACCUAUAAGACUGGGAUAACUUCGGGAAACCGGAGCUAAUACCGGAUGAUAUUUUGAACCGCAUGGUUCAAAAGUGAAAGACGGUCUUGCUGUCACUUAUAGAUGGAUCCGCGCUGCAUUAGCUAGUUGGUAAGGUAACGGCUUACCAAGGCAACGAUGCAUAGCCGACCUGAGAGGGGGGGCGGCGACACUGGAAGAAGCCCACGUCCCGGACUCCUACGGGAGGCAGAAGGGGGGAGUGUUCGACAAUGGUCUAAAGCCUGACGGAGCAACGCGUCGUGAGUGAUGAAGGUCUUAGGAUCGUAAAACUCUGUUAUUAGGGAAAAACAAAUGUGCAAGAAACUGUGCCCAUCUUGCCGGUACCUAAUAAGAAGGCCCGGACUAACUCCGGC
RNAcentral lists this ribosomal RNA (497 nucleotides) under uncultured bacterium. RNAcentral's name for it is "partial 16S ribosomal RNA". It matches the Rfam family "Bacterial small subunit ribosomal RNA", at positions 28 to 508 of the family's 1533-position model. The record is from RNAcentral.